Molecule: unclassified non-coding RNA, 344 nt
Filed under: soil metagenome
Description: partial contains 5.8S ribosomal RNA, internal transcribed spacer 2, and large subunit ribosomal RNA
Rfam family: 5.8S ribosomal RNA (bases 1-120)
Source: RNAcentral
GAUGAAGAACGUAGCGAAAUGCGAUACGUAAUGUGAAUUGCAGAAUUCAGUGAAUCAUCGAGUCUUUGAACGCACAUUGCGCCCCCUGGUAUUCCGGGGGGCAUGCCUGUCCGAGCGUCAUUGCUGCCCUCAAGCACGGCUUGUGUGUUGGGCCUCCGUCCACCUCCCGGGGGACGGGCCCGAAAGGCAGCGGCGGCACCGCGUCCGGUCCUCGAGCGUAUGGGGCUUCGUCACCCGCUCUUGUAGGCCCGGCCGGCGCUUGCCGACACAUCAAUCUUUUUUCCAGGUUGACCUCGGAUCAGGUAGGGAUACCCGCUGAACUUAAGCAUAUCAAUAAGCGGAGA